Molecule: long non-coding RNA, 819 nt
Organism: Armigeres subalbatus
Lineage: Eukaryota; Metazoa; Arthropoda; Insecta; Diptera; Culicidae
Exons: 3
Source: RefSeq, a predicted model, not a curated record
ACCUAAAAAUAGUUCUUUAUGGACUUUGUUAAAAUCGAAUCUGUUGCGGCUGUUGUUGCUGAUCCAGAUUCUAAGAACUGAUAUUUUUUUGUGGCUUCUCCCAGCUCCUGAGCUUCCGGAUUUUUAUUAAUCAAAAGUAAAGAAAUUGAGAAACUGUUGAAUGUUUGCCGCAUACGGAACCGCCAUAUUUUUAUCCUGCAGGAUUUUCCACCCGUCUAUAGUGGGCAUCUGAACUUCUUACUCCGUCCCUUCUGGAUCCCGAAAUCUAUCCCUUACGACUGCCGAGGAUCCAUCCAAUCUGACUGACCAAACUUGUAUAAAAAAUGAGGAAAACCGGAAAAUCUGAGACGGAAAACCAUCGAAAUUCCCCGGAAACACGGAACCACCGAGUUUUCCGGCACAAAGGCAGGCCUGUUCGAAGUGUCAUUGUUUGCCGUUAAAUGCAUCGAAACUUAUCAAAGAUUACAGCGUAGAUUUCUAGCCUUUUCAAAAUAAGGUUUCAGCCAGGAAUGUACCACACUUUAACAUGGGAUAAAUAUUAAUAAUAAUAAAAAAUUAAGAUUGUUUGGGCUUCCAUUUGACAUCCCACAGUUCCAAUUUCAUCCUACCAAAAUACAUUUGACGUAUUAAUUCAAAUCCGUCUGAACAGGAUGAAACUGGGAAUGUGAGAUAGAUAGCAGAAUGUUUUUCCUUUUCUUUUGAAUACAUUUAAAUCUGGGAAAUGAAUUCUAUUUCCAUUUUUUUUUUCAAAAUCAAAAUAAUGAAUAAAAACCUAAUUCUCGGUAAAAUUUACCGAUCCCAAGAGGUAAUUUUUAUCGU